GCCAAAUCGUUCCAGGAUAUGGCUGACCGCUGCUUGCUUGUCUUACAUCUGGAAGUGAGGGUUCACUGUUUCCACUAUCUUAUCCCUCUUGCAAAGGAGGGGAACUAUGCCAUUGUGGCUAAUGUGGAAAGUAUGGAUUAUGACCCCCUGGUGGUCAAGCUCAACAAAGAUAUCAGCGCCAUUGAAGAGGCCAUGAGCGCCAGCCUUCAGCAGCACAAGUUCCAGUAUAUCUUCGAAGGCCUGGGCCACCUGAUCUCCUGCAUCCUCAUUAAUGGUGCCCAGUACUUCAGGCGCAUCAGUGAGUCUGGCAUCAAGAAAAUGUGUAGGAACAUUUUUGUUCUUCAGCAGAAUUUGACCAACAUCACCAUGUCGCGGGAGGCAGACCUGGACUUUGCAAGGUAGGAGGGAAAACUGGGUUUAGUUUCUUAUGCCAAAGCUAAGACCUCGUUGCCUGUGAAGUCAUUUUUAAAAAUAGACUCUUGGUGCAGAAAAAGCUUAGUUU
Molecule: small RNA, 502 nt
Filed under: Pan troglodytes (chimpanzee)
Lineage: Eukaryota; Metazoa; Chordata; Mammalia; Primates; Hominidae
Description: retained intron
Source: RNAcentral